UAGGUCGUUGACAGUGUUCCGACCUAUGGUUCGAGUCCCGAGAAUUGUGGUUUAAAGCUGUGUACCAAAAUCCAAAAAGUUAAAUUUUUGGUCAGCUCUCGGGUGGCCUUCAGCAGGCCGUGUACCGGUACGGGUUCGCUUGCUGUACCGGUACGGGGUUGAUGGCUGUACCGGUACGUGGUUGUGUACCGGUACACAGAGCAUUUCCCAGCGAACCCGAGGCUCGGGUUUGGCAGUUCGUGGGCAGUGUACCGGUACACAAACCCGUGUACCGGUACACAGUGCAGAGCGGGCUGUUUUCGUGGAGGGGUGUUUUUGCAAUUGUUGCAACACCUAUAUAUGACACCCCAGCCCCUUUGUGAGCUCCUUUGAGCCCUAGACCAGUGGAGAAAAGGUGAGAACUCCUCCCCUAUGGUUUCUUCUCCAUUUUUGUUAGGUUUUUGCUAGUUUUGAUCUCUUUUCUCUUCUCCUUCUUGCUUUUUGUGGGUAUUUCACCAUUGGAGAAGUGUGAGAUCUUGGUUGGAGCUUGUUUGAGGAUCAACCUUCAACCCUAGAGGACUUUGGAGCUUGGUUUGGAGCUUUUAAGAGGUUUGUAGCUUUUUCUCUCCUCUAGAUUCGGAUUUUGUUGGAUUUUACUAGAUCAAACCCUAGAUUUUGGAUUUUAGGGUUAAAAUUGGGGAUUUUCGUUUUGAGGGCUUUUGUAUCAAAUUGAUGGGUUUAGAACCUUUGUUUAGGUUAGAUUGGAAGGACUCAAGCUCCCAUUUGGAGAUUGUGAGAGCUUCCUUCGCAAUCGGUGAGUUUUUGUCAACCCUAGCCCUAUAUGCUUAAUGAUUGAGCUUAGCGUCGUUUGUUUCGACUAGAUGACACAUGUUCUUGUACCUCUAAGGUACUAGGAGACUAGGGGACAUCCUCGUUGGAGCGCACGAGGAGUUUCGUUGUCAUCGGUGGGUUUGGCUUCCUUGAAAUCGGAGGAAAUUCCUCCUAAGUGGUUAAAUGCUUUCAUUCUCUUCAAACUCAUGCAUAUUCAUGUUUAGUAGCAUUUAUGGAAAUUUUGAAUGCUUGGAACUCAUAUAUUAUGUAUCAAGAAAAUUACUCUAUAUAGUAGAGAGACAAAUGUGCCUUGUUAAUAUGCAUGCGACGAAUAUUCUAUGAGAUGAUAGGAAAUACAGUUUCAUGCUUCGAUUUUGACUAGAAAUUAUAAGUUCUUGAACUUAGUAUCCAUGUUGGGACAAAAUGAGCCAUAGUGUCAUAAAGAGGCACUUGGACUAGAGAAUUAUUAAACUGCAACAUAGAGACUUGAUAAUAGGCCACAUUGACAACAACUAUAUUCCAUAUUUGAGAUAUGAUGAAAUAGUGACUUGGCCACGAGGACAUUUGCUAUAUACCAUGUUACUGAACAUGAGGAUUUGGUACUUGCGACAGAUCGUUGGAUUACUUGCCAUUGUGCUCAUUCGCACAUACUUGUGAGGGUCGCUCCCUACAAGCCGGCACUCCGGAGAUGGCCAUCGCGAUACAUAUUCGCCGUGCGGGAUUGGGCGCCGAAGUGGAUUGCCGUGGGCCAGGCUCACUCCUAAGGUGGGGGUGUUGACUACCACGGGGCCAUUAGGCUCGGCACCGGCCAGACAGCCUUCGGGUGGGUCUCAGGGCCAUAGACAGCCUUCGGGUGGGUCUCUUCAGAUUCGACUUGAGUAUUCAUUAUGACUUGUGGACAGAUGAUGACUUAGUGUACUAUUUGGACAUUGACUAGAAUAGUAAACCUCGGAACUUUACUAAUUCGUAUUGUGAACCUUAUGAAAAUUGGAGACUUUUACUUCAUGCAUAAUCGCUUCGUACUUAUGCUAUUUAUGCUAAGUAGAAAUAUCAUAUUGUAGUAAGUUACAUUUUACUUACCUCUUGUUUUUCUACAUUUAUAGUCACUGACCUCNCGUCGCUAUACACCACAAAGUCUUCACCUUGCACCGGUAAAGCGAGCACCGGAGUUGAAGUUAAUCUUUCCUUAAACUCGUUGAAACUCCGGUAGCACUCGUCGCUCCAGACGAACUUGGUGCCUUUCUGAGUCAGACGGGUAAGUGGAAUCACAACUUUCGAGAAACCUUCCACAAACCGUCUAUAAUAGCCCACUAAGCCCACAAAGCUUUGGACUUCCGUGACAUUCGUCGGGCGCGGACAAUCCUUGAUUGCCUCAAUUUUUCUCGGGUCAACAGAAACUCCACCCUUGGAAAUUACAUGUCCAAGAAAUGUAACUUCUCGAAGCCAGAAGUCACACUUCUUUAAUUUCGCGUAUAGCUUCUCCUCCCGAAGGAUUUGAAGCACUAUGCGCAGAUGCUCCGCAUGUGUAACACACUGGACCUUUGCAAAUUGCGAGAUUCGAGUGUUUGAUUUGUGUGUCGAGCUUUUCCAGACUUUCUGGUAGGUCGUUGACAGUGUUCCGACCUAUGGUUCGAGUCCCGAGAAUUGUGGUUUAAAGCUGUGUACCAAAAUCCAAAAAGUUAAAUUUUUGGUCAGCUCUCGGGUGGCCUUCAGCAGGCCGUGUACCGGUACGGGUUCGCUUGCUGUACCGGUACGGGGUUGAUGGCUGUACCGGUACGUGGUUGUGUACCGGUACACAGAGCAUUU
This 2616-nucleotide long non-coding RNA is filed under the name Ananas comosus (pineapple). RNAcentral describes it as "long non-coding RNA (ACOM_LNC032674)". The record is from RNAcentral. Lineage: Eukaryota; Viridiplantae; Streptophyta; Magnoliopsida; Poales; Bromeliaceae.